GGCUUAAUACAUGCAAGUCGAGCGGCCUCUUUCGGGAGGCAGCGGCGAACGGGUUAGUAACGCGUGGGAACGUGCCCUUUAGUACGGAAUAGCCAUUGGAAACGAUGAUUAAUACCGUAUACGCCCUUAGGGGGAAAGAUUUAUCGCUAAAGGAUCGGCCCGCGUUAGAUUAGGUUGUUGGUGGGGUAAUGGCCUACCAAGCCUACGAUCUAUAGCUGGUUUGAGAGGAUGAUCAGCAACGCUGGGACUGAGACACGGCCCAGACUUCUACGGAAGGCAGCAGUAGGGAAUCUUGGACAAUGGGCGAAAGCCUGAUCCAGCCAUGCCGCGUGAGUGAUGAAGGCCCUAGGGUUGUAAAACUCUUUCGCCAGGGAAGAUAAUGACGGUACCUGGUAAAGAAACCCCGGCUAACUCCGUGCCAGCAGCCGCGGUAAUACGGAGGGGGUUAGCGUUGUUCGGAAUUACUGGGCGUAAAGCGCACGUAGGCGGAUUAGUC
Molecule: ribosomal RNA, 496 nt
Filed under: uncultured Alphaproteobacteria bacterium
Lineage: Bacteria; Pseudomonadati; Pseudomonadota; Alphaproteobacteria
Description: bacterial SSU rRNA
Rfam family: Bacterial small subunit ribosomal RNA
Source: RNAcentral